RNAcentral lists this long non-coding RNA (245 nucleotides) under Cottoperca gobio. RNAcentral's name for it is "lncRNA (ENSCGOG00000017105.1)". The record is from RNAcentral. Lineage: Eukaryota; Metazoa; Chordata; Actinopteri; Perciformes; Bovichtidae.
UGACGUAUCCAACAUAUAAAAGCGUUACCACGCGAGACUUACGUUCUUGAUCCUUUCUCUGGCGCCGUGGAAGCUCCUACUCUUCAACAUGCGGUCCUCACUUAUCGUGACGCAUUUAUGUCUAAAUAUGGACGUUACUGCAGAUGACCCUCCGUGAACAGGUGGCUUUCCUGAUAUGGAAUGAGACUCAUCUUAAGAAAGGCGUAGCCCUUAAUCGCAAUGAAGAUUCAGGUCUGUCCCACUAG